Molecule: non-coding RNA, 24 nt
Filed under: Arabidopsis thaliana (thale cress)
Lineage: Eukaryota; Viridiplantae; Streptophyta; Magnoliopsida; Brassicales; Brassicaceae
Source: RNAcentral
UGCAACAACAUAUCGCCGUCGAAA